GGGGGCGUAGCUCAGUUGGUAGAGCACCAGCUUUGCAAGCUGGGGGUCGCGGGUUCGAUCCCUGUCGCCUCCACCA
This 76-nucleotide transfer RNA is filed under the name Planctomycetota bacterium. RNAcentral's name for it is "Planctomycetes bacterium (bioreactor metagenome) tRNA-Ala". It matches the Rfam family "tRNA". From Rfam's summary of the family: Transfer RNA (tRNA) molecules are approximately 80 nucleotides in length. Their secondary structure includes four short double-helical elements and three loops (D, anti-codon, and T loops). The record is from RNAcentral. Lineage: Bacteria; Pseudomonadati; Planctomycetota.